RNAcentral lists this unclassified non-coding RNA (746 nucleotides) under Megachile rotundata (alfalfa leafcutting bee). Its description in RNAcentral is "probable nuclear transport factor 2, transcript variant X3". Lineage: Eukaryota; Metazoa; Arthropoda; Insecta; Hymenoptera; Megachilidae. The record is from RNAcentral.
GUGAGCACAGUCUUUGUCAAACAUCAAAACUUUUCGAGAGUUCGAGAAUAAUGCCAAACGAUUUUCUCGAUACAUCGAAUUGGUCGGCAUAAGUAGCUUCCUGCUCGCUUGUAUCUCACACGAGGGAUGUUAAGAGGCAUUAUUUUAUUCUUCUUAUAAGACCUUUCCUAAAGAUAAAAGUGUCGAACCAUUAAAUCACAGAGGAAGGCUAUUAUCGUUAAUAUUGAGUAGUGAGUGGGACGUAAUAAGUUAGCGUAAUGGCAUUAAACCCUCAAUAUGAAGUUAUUGGGAAGGGUUUCGUGCAGCAGUAUUAUGCGCUGUUUGAUGACCCUACUCAAAGACCAAAUUUAAUAAAUAUGUAUAAUACCGAGUCAUCAUUCAUGACGUUUGAAGGUUUACAAAUACAGGGUGCUAUUAAAAUAAUGGAAAAAUUAACUAGUUUAACGUUUCAAAAAAUUAAUCGGAUAAUAACUGCUAUUGAUUCACAACCAAUGUUUGAUGGUGGCGUACUCAUUAAUGUCUUAGGAAGGUUGCAGGCUGAUGAAGAUCCACCACAUGCCUUCUCACAGAUUUUUGUGCUGAAGCCACUGGGGAAUUCAUUCUUUUGCCAACACGAUAUUUUCCGUCUUGGCAUUCAUGAUAGCGCGUGAAGGGAAGUGUCUGCAAGUUCACCAUGAUUAAUAGCAGACAAUGAUCUAAUCCAUGGACUCCCCAGAGAUUGAAAUAAUUCCAAAAUUGAAUGUACA